UGCACAUGAUGUUUCUCACGAUGGUCUUCAUAUUCCCUUAUAUCAGGGAUGCUGACAAUGCUUUUAAGCACUUCACUGAUGUAAUCUU
This is a small nucleolar RNA of Strongylocentrotus purpuratus (purple sea urchin), 88 nucleotides long. RefSeq annotates it as small nucleolar RNA SNORD35. The transcript has a single exon. Lineage: Eukaryota; Metazoa; Echinodermata; Echinoidea; Camarodonta; Strongylocentrotidae. The record is from RefSeq and is a predicted model, not a curated record.